Molecule: unclassified non-coding RNA, 893 nt
Filed under: Ensifer fredii
Lineage: Bacteria; Pseudomonadati; Pseudomonadota; Alphaproteobacteria; Hyphomicrobiales; Rhizobiaceae
Description: Sinorhizobium fredii partial 16S-23S ribosomal RNA intergenic spacer
Rfam family: Bacterial large subunit ribosomal RNA (bases 778-893)
Source: RNAcentral
CGGCAGUUCGAGUCUGCCCGGGCCCACCAUUCGCUGGGCUCAUGGUGGGCCCGGGCAUUCUCUUGGUUUGUUUGCUCUUCCUCGCGAUCUUCGAUCGCUGCGGGGAGAGCGGGCCGGGCCCCGAGGUGCGAUCGAACGUCGUUAGUUCAGUCGCCGGCUUUUUGCUGGCGAUCGAAACCUGAUGGGGCUGUAGCUCAGCUGGGAGAGCACCUGCUUUGCAAGCAGGGGGUCAGCGGUUCGAUCCCGCUCAGCUCCACCAAAGGUUUUGGUGUUGACGGCUGGCGGAUCUGUUUCUUGUCUUUGGGGAAAAAUAGUUUGCAUCGUCUCUUUUGAGAGGCAGAUGCCUGUUCUGCUUACAUUGUGAAGAGAAGAUAUGUCUGGAAGCUUCCAGGUGUCGAUGGCGAUCGAAGGGUUGCCGGAGACGUCCGAGCCCAGUCCUGAAGAAGCCAUGGAUGGUCUAGCCGACCGGAGAUGGAAGAGGGGCUGGAGGUAGGAGGGAAGUCUUGUCGUUCAAGGCAUGGAUGUUGUUGGGGUGUCCUUCGGAAUGCCCUUCUGGUGUUCAUGACUGAUUGGUGUUGCCUGACCGCGCAUCACCGGACAGAUCUCGAGAAGCUGGUCUUAAGAUUUGGCGCAAGCGAACCGCUCGGCGUGGUUCCAAUAAAGCGACCAAAUCGAACACGUCGAUGGCAUCUGAAUUUGGAUUGGGUUGUAAAAGGUAGCCCUAUCCGCCGCGCCCCUUCGGGGCGACGGCUAAGGAUGAGCAUUGGCAAUGAGAACGAUCAAGUGUCAAAAGGGCAUUUGGUGGAUGCCUUGGCAUGCACAGGCGAUGAAGGACGUGAUACGCUGCGAUAAGCCGUGGGGAGCUGCGAAUGAGCUUUGAUCCAUGGAUCUCC